UACGGAGGAUCCAAGCGUUAUCCGGAUUUAUUGGGUUUAAAGGGUGCGUAGGCGGCUUAUUAAGUCAGAGGUGAAAGACGACAGCUCAACUGUCGCAGUGCCUUUGAUACUGAUGAGCUUGAAUACAGAUGAAGUAGGCGGAAUGUGGCAAGUAGCGGUGAAAUGCAUAGAUAUGCCACAGAACACCGAUUGCGUAGGCAGCUUACUAAGUUGAUAUUGACGCUGAGGCACGAAAGCGUGGGGAUCAAACAGG
Molecule: ribosomal RNA, 253 nt
Filed under: uncultured bacterium
Lineage: Bacteria
Description: partial 16S ribosomal RNA
Rfam family: Bacterial small subunit ribosomal RNA
Source: RNAcentral